CUAUGUGGCUAUGCCGGACUGAAAACACUUCAUCUUGACUGGUCUUUAAAACCUAAACAGUCCUAGGCCUGGCUAGUACUAGAAUGGCAGACCAUGUUGGCAUCCCAGAUGCUGCAGGUA
Molecule: ribosomal RNA, 120 nt
Organism: Crocodylus porosus (Australian saltwater crocodile)
Lineage: Eukaryota; Metazoa; Chordata; Crocodylia; Crocodylidae
Source: Ensembl